GAUUAUGGUAGGAUAGAGGCCUACCAUGGUGGUAACGGGUAACGGGGUGUUAGGGCACGACACCGGAGAGGGAGCCUGAGAAACGGCUACCACAUCCAAGGAAGGCAGCAGGCGCGCAAAUUACCCAAUCCCGACACGGGGAGGUAGUGACAAUAAAUAACAAUACAGGGUUCUUUUGGAUCUUGUAAUUGGAAUGAGUACAAUUUAAAUCUCUUAACGAGGAACAAUUGGAGGGCAAGUCUGGUGCCAGCAGCCGCGGUAAUUCCAGCUCCAAUAGCGUAUAUUAAAGUUGUUGCAGUUAAAAAGCUCGUAGUUGAAUUUCGGGAUCAAGGAAUCGGUCAUGCCUUGGUAUGUACUGGUUUUAUUGGUUCUCACCUUCUAAAGAACCAUAAUGUCAUUCAUUUGAUGUUAUGGGGAAUUAGGACUGUUACCUUGAAAAAAUUAGAGUGUUUAGAGCAGGCUUACGCUUGAAUACAUUAGCAUGGAAUAAUGAAAUAGGGCAUCAGAUUCUAUUUUGUUGGUUUCUAGGAUCGAUGUAAUGAUUAAUAGGGAUAGUUGGGGGCAUUAGUAUUCGAUUGUCAGAGGUGAAAUUCUUGGAUUUAUUGAAGACUAACUACUGCGAAAGCAUUUGCCAAGGAUGUUUUCAUUAAUCAAGAACGAAAGUUUGGGGAUCGAAGACGAUCAGAUACCGUCGUAGUCCUAACCAUAAACUAUGCCGACUAGGGAUCGGAUGAUGUUAAUUUAUAAUGACUCAUUCGGCACCUUACGGGAAACCAAAGUGUUUGGGUUC
Molecule: ribosomal RNA, 790 nt
Filed under: uncultured Glomus
Lineage: Eukaryota; Fungi; Glomeromycota; Glomeromycetes; Glomerales; Glomeraceae
Description: SSU rRNA
Rfam family: Eukaryotic small subunit ribosomal RNA
Source: RNAcentral